Molecule: non-coding RNA, 4508 nt
Organism: Plasmodium falciparum 3D7
Lineage: Eukaryota; Apicomplexa; Aconoidasida; Haemosporida; Plasmodiidae
Source: RefSeq, a predicted model, not a curated record
AUUUGUUUUUGUUUUUAAAUUAUUUUGAAAUAUAUAAAUUAGAUAAUUCUUAUAUUCCAAAAAUAAUCUUAUACAAUUUUAAUAAGAUAUGUGUAUUACUAAAGAAUGAAAUGGAUAAAACCAAACGGUGCCUUCAUUACAUAUAAAGUUGUAAAUUUUUUUAAAUUGUAAUAAAAUGCCUUUCUGAAAAAGUAAGUCCGUAAAAAUAAAAAAAAUAAAAAAUUAAAUACAUAAAAUGAAUUUUUAUUUUAUAAUGUAAAUAAAUAAAUAAAUAUAUAAAUAUAUAUAUAUAUAUAUAUAUUAUCUUGUUAUCGUCCCUUUUUUUUUUUUUUUUUUCUUUUUUUUUUUUUUCUUUUUUCUUUUUUCUUUUUUUUUAUAUAAAUAAAUUAUGCAUGGAUAAUAAAAUGAAAUUAAAAAAGUAUUUAUAAAAAAUAUUCUUAUGUAUAUAUAUUCUUUGUUUAAACCUAUUUUACUUUUAAGAUUAUUUUUAAUUUUUUUUUUCAUAAGCUUAUUCAUAUUUGAACAUAUACACAUAUAAUAUAAAUAUAUGUAUUAAAUAUAUAUAUAUAUUAUAUACACAUUUUUAUAUUCUUUUUUAUAUUCACUUGUUUAUUUGUUUAUAUUUAUUUAUUUAUGUUUAUUUAUUUAUGUUUAUGUUUUUAAUUAUUUUUUUCUGUUUAUAGUAUUAUUCAAUUAAAAUAUACAGAACAAGUAUCCAUUCAAUAAAACAUUUUAAAAAUAUAUUUACAAGGAUUAUUUAUAAGAGUUCAAAAAUUACUUAAAAAAAAAUUAAAUAAAAGAAAUGAAAAGAAAAGAAAAGAAACAUCUCUAUUAAAAAAAAAAAAGAUGAAAGAAUAAGUAAACAUAUAAAAAGGUAUAUUUAUAUGUUAAAACUAUUUAGAUAUUAUAAUGGAAACGAGGAAAAUAAUUAAGGUACUAUUAUAAAACAAUAAAUAAAUAUAUAUAUAUGUAUGUAUAUAUAUAUAUAUAUAUAUAUAUUUAAUAAAUGUUAUUUUAAAAAAUAUAAUACAUAUAUAAAUGAAUAUGUUAUAUAUAUAUAUUUAUAUAUAUGUAUGUAUGUAUAUGUAUUAAUACAUUAUAAAAUUAAAAUUGAAUUAUAUAUAUAUAUAUAUAUAUAUAUAUAUAUAUACAUAUAAGUAAAUAAUAAUAUUAUGUAAUAAAUAUUAAUUUAUCAUACACAAAAUGGUAUAUACACCAAGGAAUAUAUAUAUAUAUUUAUAUAUUGGAAAAUGUUUUUAUUUGUGCUUAUAUAAAUAUAUAUGUGUAUGAAUAUUUUAAUUUUAAAAGUAAAUAAUAAAUAUAAAUGCGUAUAAUAUAUAUGUAUAUAUAUAUAUAUAUAUAUAUAUAUAUAUAUAUGAACAUGCUAUAUUCUUAUGUAUGUACCAACAUAGAUAAGAAUUUUUUUUUAAAAUUAUAAAAGCAAACAUAUAUGUUUUGAAACCUUUAUAUUUUUUAGUAAUAUAUAUAUAUAUAUAUUACAUAUAUAUGUAUGUUAAAAGUAGAUAUAAUAUUUACCUACAAAAUAUAUAUAUAUUAUAUACAUGUACACGAUGAGAUACAUAUUAUACACAUAUAUUAGCAUACAAAUUUUUAAUUAUAUUUACAUAUAAAUUUUUUCUUUUUUCUUUUUACUUUUUUCUUUUUUCUUUUUUCUUUUUUUUUUUUUUUUUUUUUUUUUUUUAUUUUUCUUUUUUUUUUUUUUCAUUUAUUUAUUUAUAUGUACAUUUUUCUUUUAUAUAAUAAUGAAUUGGAUAAUAGAAUGGAGAAUAAGCCUUUUGUAGAAGAUGAUGAAUGCUGACGUUUUUGUUUUCCUUCCUGGGCCUAAUUUUAUAAAUGAUAUCAUCUAAUAAAAGGACAUUAAUUUUGUUUUUGAGGAGGCGGUUUGUGUUAUUCAUUUGAGUAAUCCGAUUAAUUACAAAAUUUGUAGUAUUGUUGAGGUUACUUUUGAGCAUGUUGCGUAUACUUCUUGAUUGAAAACGAAAAUACAAAGUUUUAAUAAUGUAGGUCAUAUAACAGAAAUCGUCAAGAAUUAUAUCAUCAUGUAUUUUAUUAUUUUUUAAGGGUAAAUUAUUCAAAGAACAGAUAAGAAUCACAGGUUUUUUAAACAUAAUAGUGUUAUGAUUUUUAUAAUGAUUGGAUAUGUUGUUUGUUGUUUCAGGAUGUGUUAUGGUAUCAACAUUUAUAUCUGAGUUUAUAUUAGGAACAUUUGUAACAUUUUUAUAUUUAUCUUUAAUACAAUAAAUGAUUGUAUGGUCGAAAUGAUAACUAUAAGAUAUUACAUCGGAAUCAUUUGUUACUAAUAUAAUAUGAUCGACUCGUUCAUUCAUAUAUAAAUCAUUUACAUCUUGUAUAAAAGGAUUAGAAAAUUCAUUAUGAUUAAAUAAACGAAAAGAUUGAAAUGGAUUUAUUCUCAUAACAACAGGAAUACCUUUCUGUUUUAAUAAAUCAAGAGUAUUUUUUAAAUCUUCAUACAUAUAGGAAUAUCGUUUUCUAUGAUUAUUAAUAUCCUUAUUUGUAUCAUUAUCCUUGAAAAUACAUACAUGAAGAAACAUUAUUACACAAUUCUGUCUAAAGAUCUCCCAUAUUUUAUCAAGAAUAAUUAAGAAAUCUAAUAACGUCAUUGUUUUUUUUAAAUUAUUUUCAAAAUUUUCUCUCACAUAAUCAAAAUCAAGUACAAUACCAAAUUUUAAGGCUUUUUCCAUUUUCAAGUGUUCAGGUACUUUCUUCUGAUAUUUUUUUACAAGAUGAUGAUUAUUCAUAAUAUGUUUGAGUGGAUACAUUUUAUUUAACAAGUUGUGUAUUUCAUUAAAUAUUAAAUCAGCAUUCAUAUAAUAUGUAUUUUUUAUAAGAUGACGAUUAGGACAAUCCAAUAAUUUAAAAGAAACAAUAUUCUCUUCAUAUAUACCUAUUUCAUAAAUAUCAGAUUUAAAAUUAUUUAAAAGACCUCUAUUACAAACAUCUUCAAAUCUUUUCUUAUUAUACUCUUGUAAAAAGUUUCCCAUCUCUUCUUUUUUAUUUCCAUAGAAAUAGGAUAAGUGAUUAUCUAAAUACAUUAAACUAUUAAACGAUUUUUUCAUUUCAAAACAGAAACAUUUACCUAUACUAUUAUUUAUAUUACGAUCAUAAAUAUAUGGAGAACUUAAUAAAUCAACACUAUUACCUUUUCUAUCAUCAACAUAUUGUUCAAUAUCACUAUUAUAAUAUACAUCCUCUUCUAUAUUUAUAUAAUUAUUCUUAGCUUCUUCUUCUUUUUUAAUAGCAUACUCUUCAGAAUUUAAACUUAUGACAUGCCUACACAACUCAUUCUUUUUCAUCUUAUAUAUGUGUACCAAGUCCUCACAACCAGCAUCAUUAGUAUCACUAUCGUUCGUAUUAAGAUAAAACAAACCUUUCGUAUGAUUAUCUAAAUAUAAAUACCAAGAUUCAAACAUUUUUCUACUAGCACUAUUUCGACGCCUACUAUUACCUUUUACUUUCAAUUUUACGCAAGUCUCUUUUUUGUAGUUCAUAUUAAUAAUAUGGAAGUUAUAUAAAUAUAUAUAUAUAUAUAUAAUAUUUUGGUGAGUUUAAAUUUGUAGAUAUAUAUAUAUAUAUUUAACAAUGGACUUUAUAUAUAUAUAUAUAUAUAUAUAUAUAUAAUAUUUUGAUGAGUUUAAAUUGGAAGGGCUAUAUAUACAUUUAACAAUAGACUUAAUAUAUAUAUAUAUAUAUAUAUAUUAUAUAUAUAUUAUUAUUUUUAUUUUUUUUUUUUUUAUUCAGGAAAUAUACUAUGUUCAGUAUUUCGUGUCAAAUAGACGAGGUACGAAAAAAUAUAAAACAAAAAAAAAAAAAAAAAGAAAAAAUACAAAAAAUAGAAAAAAUGGAAAAAAUUGAAAAAAUGGAAAAAAUAGAAAAAAUGGAAAAAAAUUGAAAAAAUUGAAAAAAUAGAAAAAAAUUAAAAAGUUAAAAAAAUUUUAAGUUUAAAUAAGUAUUAAAAAGAGAGCUCUUAUUACAUAGCAUUAAAUACUUAUAUCUAUUAUAUAUAUAUAUAUAUAUAUAUAUAUAUAUAAUAUAGUUCAUAUUUUAUUUUUUCUUUCCUUCAGGUUAUAUAUACAUUUAUUAUGAAUAAAAAUAUGGCGUAUGUUAAAAAAAAAAAAAAAAAAAAAGAAAAUAAUACUUAUAUCUUAAACAAUAGUAAAUAAUAUAAUAUGUUGUGUAAUUCGAAAGCUGUGUAAUUAAAAAUUUGUGUAAUUUCGAAAAAAAAAAAAAAAAAAAAAAAAAAACGAGGAAAGAAAAAAGGAAAUAUUGUAUACUAAAAAAAAGCAAGUUGAGAAAUGUAUUAUAAAGAGCUAAAGAUUUAUUAUAUAUAUAAUAUGUAUGUGUAUAUAUAUGUAUGUAUAAUAUUAUAUAUAUAUAUAUAUAUAUGUGCGAAGAAAAAAAAAAAAAAACAAUUUGAGAGAUUUCAGAGAAUUUGAUAUGUUUCUUUAUUUCUUUUAAAACAAAAAAAC